Long non-coding RNA from Bombus pascuorum, 692 nucleotides. RefSeq lists it as uncharacterized. NCBI's taxonomy places the organism in Eukaryota, Metazoa, Arthropoda, Insecta, Hymenoptera, Apidae. The transcript has 2 exons. The record is from RefSeq and is a predicted model, not a curated record.
CAAAGAGUAUAGGAAAUUUUAUUAUGUUAUAUCAUUUAUUAUAUAGUUAGUACUUACACUUUGUUAAUAAAAAAAAUUAGUUUAUAUAAAAGUUUGUUGUUAAUAUAAUAAUAAACAGUUUAUAUGAUAUACAUUUUUCAUUAAUCACCACAAAUUAAGUUUAAGAACAAAAAGUGAUACAAUCUAACCUAACAUCAAUUGCUGUGUAAUGUUUAUCGACUAAACUUCGAUUGUGUCAUUGACAAGUUUAUCGAUUGUUUCAAAAUAAGUUAAAAUGUAUACAGGGCUUUCCUCAGGCCCACUAUCAUCCUGUUGUGAGUGACUCUGCUGAUCACUACCUGGAAGGCUACCAUAUUGUUGUGCAUCUUCACUAUGUCCAGAGGCAGACGAGGAGCUUGAAGAAAGCGGUUUAGUAUUAAGUGCACCAAGCGAAUUAAAUGUUCCAAGAGGACCACCAACAUUGCUUGUACCACUGCUAACACCAACAGAUAGUUGACUGUCACCUGUAAAACCGGACACCAUGUUCGUUGUCCUAGGAAAGAAAAGAGUAAUUAUGAUUAUUACCUAUGUUUAAUUUAAAGAUCUUAGAAAGUAUUAAAAUCAAUUUUAUUUAUUACAUGUAUUUAUCAUUAUGAUUAUACACUUCAGUAAAAAUCCAAUAAAUAACAGUUCUUAUUAAAUUCUUCACUAAA